UAGCUAACAAUCCAGCUAACAAACAAGGUGGAAUAUUCAGUGUUAAUCUAAUCCUUUUCUCCUGUCUCUCUCUGUCUUCAGUUUCCAGUAGCGUUUCGGAUCGAGUUUAAGAUCCCACAGUGAGCGUGACUGGUCCCCAGUGGCGGAGGAAGCCUCUCCUGCUUCCCUAAUUUGUAGGAAGGCCUCUUUGAAAGUGCCACCCAGAGCUGUCUGUGAAGUACGGCUGGAGUAGACCCCACCUGCCCGCUGUGCUGUCAGAAUAGUGACCCCUCCUGGCUAAUAGCCCUAUCUGCUCUCCACUGCUGCCCUCUUCACUUAUCUAUUUUGACAUCUGUCCCCCAAAAUCGGCCCCUCUCAAUUGGGGGCAAAUUCACCGAGGUCACGUAAACACUGUCAAUUAUAAAAAGAGCUGUACAUCUUUCUGUUCUGUCUGCAUGUGCCUGAUGCCGCAUGAUUUUUACAGACAUCCCACCUGGACGUGGGAGAAUGGUGAGAUUUGCCCGCCUGGGGUGGGGGUUGCGAUUUUCCAAGCUUCCUCUGCUGAAUGGCAGAAUGACGUUAGGUUGUUUUAAUUCUCUGUGGAUGGAUUUCCAGGACAUUGCACAUAAUUCGUGGGUGUCAGGGAGCUGCUGUCAAUUUGUGGGAGACUCCCGGGACUUCUGGGAGAAGAGGGAUGUCUGUUUUUGUGGCCAGACACACAUGCAGUCUGGGGUUCGAUAUAUGUGUGUACAUGCAUGUCAUUCUCUGUCUACAAUUAAAGCCACAGUGCACACACACACACACACACAGACACACACACACACAUAUAUAUAUUAUACAUAUAUAAAUAUACACACACAUAUAUUAUACAUACACACACACACCCAGAGUAGCUUUAAUUGUAGCCAGAGCUAGAGUAACAUGACACAACAAGCUUAAAACGAGCUGGAAAGGAGUCACCUGCAGGAAAUAGAGGUAUAAAUCAAAUCAUUGCAAACAGCAAUUUGUGGCUGAAUAUCUUUAAUCCCAGACUGUGUGAUUCGGGUGAGUGCAUAACAACACUCACAUUAUUCACUGGGGGGAUAUUCGAAACGCCAGUGUACAAGGCUCGAGAUUAGCAAAAAAGCAGAUGUCAGGAAAGAAAAGGUUUAAAGAAGGAAGGGAAGCGGUGUAACAAACACAGCGGCUGACGUCUCCUGCUGAUUUAAAGGUGCCUGAUUGCCUGUGGUAACAAAAUCUAUUUUGAGAUAUAGAGGCUUUUGACCUGCCACUAAAUCGCUUAUGCGCAAAUGGCCACCGGGUGUAAUUUCUCUACGAAAUGGCCGCUAGUUCCAGGGCAGGGUUUUAGCGGAGAGGUGCUAAUUAUUUGAGCAGAAAGAGGUCCAAACGAGACUGCCUUAUAAACACGUUUGUUUUCAGAAAGUAGCAGGGUGUGCUGGCACAGUGUCACUGUACUCUGUGACAUGUCCAGCAGCACUCGUUUUCUGGCACUAAAGAUGUGUUUCUUUUUCUCCUGAGUUCAAAUUCUUUUUUAGCCUCUUCUCAGUAUAUGCGGUUCAUCUAUCAGCUGAUGGCUGGCCGUCGCCCGGAUUCGGUGCUGGGACUGUGAAAGCAGCACCAAUGAAGUGCUCCGGCCGCAGUUAAUGGCCGGCACCAGAGUAACGGGAGCGAAACAAUCUGUCAUAACGCACCGUUUGGACUGUGAUUAAAAACAUGGAGGGACCCCAAAGAGGCUCUGGAAUCUUCCGCACAGAGGGGAUUUUCACACAUGGUUUGAAACUUCAGCCAAUUAUUAGAGUCGGAGGAGCGGGUGAUCUCUCGAGGGACCUGCUGCCUCAUCGCAUCAGUGUGUCUGAGCUAAAGCGCUCCUGCGAUGUGGGGUGGGGGGGCCGUAGCCACAUGUCUCUGUAGCUACAUCCCCCACCUCAGUGCAGGAGGUGGUCUAGUGGUCAGAAAUGGGACUACAUUACAGAUGGCUGCUACUUUGAGUGCAGUGAAGGGACCUGCUGUGGCACUCUUGAGAAAAGUAGGCCAGAGAGUAACAUUACUCUCUUUAAGAAAAUAUGAAUGGGAGGAAAUGUUUGUGUACUUUUGGAUUAAUGAGCUCUUCUUUAGUCACUUUGGCUAAAUUAAGGCAGAUUGGUGGGUAACACUCAUGCUACUCUGCACUGUAUGUAUGCGUGGGAGUUCACAUGUUCUUAUUGGGUUAUGUCAGUAACCUGCCAUCCAAACAUGGCAUCUCUGUAUAUGUGUGUGUGCCCUACCACGGACUGGAAUCCGGGCCAGUACCUGCCCCAGCCUUGUGCCCCAUUGAGAGCUUGGUUUCUGCUGUACGGUUUUCUUUUUCUGACCAUCUAAGCUGAAGCUCUGACCCUUGACAUCACCAAGCUUGGUCCCAUCUAGGAGCGUGUGGUUGCAGCUGCCUCCAUCAUCAGCGAGGUGCGUGUAAAGCUCAUCAUGUGGUGUUUGGAUGAUGAACGCGGGUCUUCGCCUGUAAAGUUGUUUUUUUCUUGUGUUGAUGCUCAGAUGUUGACCCCCCCCAUGCUCAUGAGAUGCAAACUGCACACAGAUAAUGCAGAAUCCCUGAGGUAUGCAUGCUAUUUAUGGACAUUGACUGGGGGGGAUGGGGGUGGAUGCUUUUAAAAGCCUCUGCAUUGAAGGUCAUUCAUAUUCCUGCUACUGAUACCAACCAUCACAAAGUAUAAUGGAUCCAAGAGGUUAAAAAUAGUUUAUGUGGGAGAGAGAGAAAACCAUGAAAAAUGAAUUGCUUUAACUUUCAUAACUUUGGGCUGCGUUUAAAGUCAGCAAAUGGCCCAUUUACACUGUAGCUUCCAGACUGAGUCAACAGACAUAAUGUGUGUAAUAUGCUCAGUACGAUUAUGUGUAAUAGGCUUCCACCUGCUUCGGUGGGCUCAGAAUAAUCUGACAUUGUUAAGAAUA
Molecule: long non-coding RNA, 2919 nt
Organism: Paramormyrops kingsleyae
Lineage: Eukaryota; Metazoa; Chordata; Actinopteri; Osteoglossiformes; Mormyridae
Source: RefSeq, a predicted model, not a curated record